AACUAGUUCUCCCCCUCCAAAUGACCCGUUCAAACCGUUCAGUUCUUUUGAUUGGCUGAAGAGGGACUGCUUGCCUGUCUUAUCCUAUCGUCGUGCCUCAUUCUGUGUGUGGGUGGGGCUUAGAGAAGCAGCAGCAGUACUACUGAGCUGACUGAAAGACCGGAAUGACCGAGUUGACUGAAAGAACGGGUCAAAUGAACGAAAGACCUAGUUGACUGAAAGAACGGGUCAAAUGAACGAAAGACCGAGUUGAACGAAAGACCGAGUGAACGAAAGAUCCAGACGGAUGAACGGGUUGAACGAAAGACCGAGUGAACGAAAGACCGAGUUGAACGAAAGACCCAGACCGAUGAACGAGUUGAACGAAAGACCGAGUGAAUGAAAGAUCCAGACGGAUGAACGAGUUGAAUGAAAGACCGAGUGAACGAAAGACCCAGACGGAUGAACGAGUUGAACGAGAGACCGAGUGAACGAAAGACCCAGACGGUGAACGAGUUGACUGAAAGACCGAGUGAACGAAAGACCCAGACGGUGAACGAGUUGAACGAGAGACCGAGUGAACGAAAGAUCCAGACAGAUGAACGAGUUGACUGAAAGACCGAGUUGAGUGGCCGCCGCACGAGGCCCGACAGCCGAGCCGGAGCGAGCGGGACAGUCACACACACACAAAGGCACACAGCUGCUGCUGCAGCAGCCAGAGGCAGAGAGACAACUAUUAAUACGCAUUUGCACUGUCUGUUGCUGUUGUCUGUACUUUUUAUUAUUGUUUUUAAUGCACCUCAAAAUAAUAAAAACCAUUAAUAAAAUAAUACCGUAUAUAUUUUGUUACUCCUACUGUAAUUUUAUAUUACAAGUGGUGCAGUGAGAUCGCAGCGUUGGACCGAGUGGACCGGGGGUGGGAAGUGGAGA
Molecule: long non-coding RNA, 909 nt
Filed under: Xyrichtys novacula (pearly razorfish)
Lineage: Eukaryota; Metazoa; Chordata; Actinopteri; Labriformes; Labridae
Source: RNAcentral